Molecule: transfer RNA, 72 nt
Filed under: Camelus bactrianus (Bactrian camel)
Lineage: Eukaryota; Metazoa; Chordata; Mammalia; Artiodactyla; Camelidae
Also listed under: 1 other name
Rfam family: tRNA
About the family: Transfer RNA (tRNA) molecules are approximately 80 nucleotides in length. Their secondary structure includes four short double-helical elements and three loops (D, anti-codon, and T loops).
Source: Rfam by way of RNAcentral
GAGGGUAGAGCUCAGUGGUAGAGCACAUGCCUAGCAUGCAUGAGGUCCUGGGUUCAAUCCCCAGUACCUGUG